This is a non-coding RNA of Oryctolagus cuniculus (rabbit), 26518 nucleotides long. Lineage: Eukaryota; Metazoa; Chordata; Mammalia; Lagomorpha; Leporidae. The record is from RefSeq and is a predicted model, not a curated record.
AUUGGUUUAAAAAGUUUUACACCAAAAUAACUUCUCUCUUAAACUCAUUUUCCCAUACAGUUAUUACAGCACCCUCAAAUAUUUCACAUACAAUAAAUUUCACAUGUUUAAACUAAUAAAAUUCAAUGUCCGAUACUGUAUUCCCAGCAUUGUAUGACCAUUACCACUGUAAACUUAGGCAUAUUUUUCACCAUCAAAAUAAGCCUUGUAUAAGUUAUCAAUAACCACUUCAGUCCCUCUGUCUUCUCUAGUCCUAGGCAAUCACUUUCUUCAGGUCUCUACAGAUUUACCUGUUCUUGACAGUUCUUAUAGAUAGGGUGCUACAGUAUAUUUUUCUUGGUAACUGGCUUCUAGCAGGUAGCAUAAUAAUUUCACAGUUGAUUCAUGUUGUGGCAUGUAUCAGAACUUCUUUCUAUUUAUUGUCAAAUAAUUUUUAUUUUUUUAAUUUAUUUAUUUGAGAGGUAGAGUUACAGACAGUGAGAAGGAGAGACAAAGAUCUUCCUUCUGUUGCUUCAUUCCCCAUAUUACAUUCAACAGGAAUGUAUACAUGAACAGAAGGAGGUGAAUUGAAACAUGUGGUGAUAUUUUUCAAAGUACAGAUUACACCCUAAUAAACUCAUUGUUAAAUUGAAAAUAUCCUCAGUGAAAAAUGCACUUAAUACACCUAGUCUUGCCAACAUCCUCGCUUGUGAUUGUGGUUGAGUGGGAGCUGUUUAACUGCUGCUGUUCAGUGUCAUGGGAGAGCAGUGUCUGCAUAUCCCCAACUUGGGAAAUGCUCCAGAUUCAGAGUGUGUGUCCUAGAGAAUGUGUAUCACUUGUGCACAGUCAUAAACAUGAAAAAUCAGAAGUCAGACUAUCACAAGUAUAGGCUAUCACAAGUCUGUUAUAGGCUGAGUGUACCUUGGAAUUAAAUGUUCCAGCUAUGAUUUAACAAUAAAAUUAUAAAGGAGUGACAAAAAUAUCUUAUAAGGUAGAGGUGAAACAUUUUCAGUAGCAACUGGCUGACACCCUCAAAGAUAAUAUCAGAGAUUUACUGGAGCUCAUAGUUCAUUAUUACCCUCUGUAAAAAGAUGAGACAAAGGAUGUAAGAACAAAUGAAGUAAAAUCAAAGAUAAGCCCAUAAGAUAUUCAACAUGUGGAAGAGAAAUUCUGUAGCUGGAUAAAGAAUGUAACUUUUUAUAUGUGAAUUUCAAUAAAUACAGCUUUUUAAAAUUUUCUGUAUCAUUGCAGUACACUUUUGUCAUUACAGUGAAUUUAUUUCUUAAAUUUCUGACAUUCACUUGGCCCUUCUUGUAAUUUCACUCUUUUUAAAAUAAUGCCCCUAGGAAAAUUGAGGAUUACAUAGCAUUUCUCAUGGAAGUUGAGAGACAUUUUGUUGUGUUAACAAUAUUGUAAUAUUAUAUUCCUAUGGCUAUGUGGAAACAAAACCUAUUAAAUCACAGAAUAAAAUGUAAUGAAAUGCUCCAAAAAUUUUCUAUUUUUUGAAUGUAUACCUAGCCUAUGUAUCUUUAUUUCAUAUAUUUCAGAAUAAAUUCUAUAGAACAAAUUCUAUAGAAACUCCAUUAUACUCUUAGACAAAAUUCAUAUGUUUUGAUUAAUUUACAAUCUAUUGGAAAAAUUUGUCAUACAUGUUAGGCUAUUCAUGUAUUCAUAUACAGAUGUAAAUACAUCUGAACUAGAGAAUUGUCUAGAUCUUGCCACUAUACUUUUUAAAAUCAAUGUGUUGAGAUACAAGGGAGCUUCCUAAAUGUACACUAUGAAAAAUAUGCAUUGGUUUAAAAAAGUUGCAUGAAAAUGAACUUAUCUGUUAAGUCCAUUAUUUCCACAAACCUUUUAAUGUAACCUCAUAUAUUUUAAAUAAGUUCAUCCAUUUAAUUUAAUAAAAUUCACUGACCCUUAGGAUAUUUCCCAGAGUUAUAUGACCAUCACAACUAUCAACUUUAGCACAUGCUUAGCAACCUAGAAAGAAACCUUAUACCAGUUACCCAUCGCCAAUCAACUCCUCUAUCUUCCCUAGUCCUGGGCAAUCAAAUUUUUCUCAGGUCUCCAAGGAGACAUUUCAUAUAAAUAGGGUCCUACAGUAUGUAGUUCUUUAUGACUGGCUUCUUGUAUUUAGGUAUUUUCUGGGUUCACCAUGUUGUAGCUUGUGUUAGUACUUUUUUAUUGUCAAAUAUUCUUGUAUUAUAUAGUGCAAUACUGUUCUGUUGUAUAAAUUAUCCAGUUCAUCAGUGGAUUAACAUUUAGGUGGUUUCUACUUUUUGACUAUUAUUAAUGCUGCUUUGAGCAUUCAUUUGCGAGUAAUUUUGUGAGAAUUAGUGUUUUCCUCCUUGCCAUUGGAUUCUAUCCAUCUCUGGCUUAACUGUACCUGUUUGCCAUCUCUCCACUGUUCUUUGUGCUGUCCACUCUUCCUUUUAGUUUCUGUUCAUCUAACCUUGUUUAUGCAGAUCGAGGCCCAAAUUUCCCUUUUUUUCAGUAAGCUUUUCAUUCUGUGACAUUUUUAUCUCUUACAGGCAUAACUGUUUCCAGUACUUGUCAGCUACUUUGUACAUAGCAAUGUAACCCUUAGUUUUACAUAGCAUUUUGUUUUUUUCAUAGGAGAUAAUCUUCUCUAAAUAGAAAUGUAACUCAGAGGAAAAUAUCUGAUGUGCAUGUCACUUUUCCUUGUAUAUAUUGAAGAUAGUUUAGAAGACAUUAAAAUAAAUACUUUAUGCUGUAUUAAAAUGUAUUUGUGAGACUUUGGCAUAUAUUUUUCAUAUAAGUAUUAGAAAAUGCAAUAUAAAGUCAGUACUGUAUUCAUAGUACAUUUUGUAUAUCUCUUUAUCCAUUGAUAGAUAUUCUAGUUAUAUCUAUCCUUUUGGGUACUCCAAAUAUAUGUUAUCUGAAAACUGGUGUGUGGCUAUCUUUUGGUGUCCUUGCUUAUAUUGUUAAUGUCUUUUACACUGCCAUGAAAGUUGAGUAAUGAUACAUGUAUGAUUCUGAAUUCCAACUGUAAUCCUAACUCUUCAGUGAGCCCUUGAGAAUGAGUUAUUUUGAGACUAUAAAUUUAAUUCCUCAUCAAGAAUGGAUACUAAAUUAUUGUGGAAGCUUUAUUUUCACCAUGGAAUAUACUUCCUCUGGAUUUUUGUUUUUUAUUUUUUGAUAGAGUGGACAGUGAGAGAGAGAGAGACAUAGAGAAAGGUCUUCCUUUGCCGUUGGUUCACCCUCCAAUGGCUGCCGCGGCCAGCGCGCUGCGGCCAGCGCACCGCGCUGAUCCAAUGGCAGGAGCCAGGUGCUUCUCCUAUCUCCCAUGGGGUGCAGGGCUUAAGUACUUGGGCCAUCCUCCACUGCACUCCCUGGCCACAGCAGAGAGCUGGCCUGGAAGAGGGGCAACCGGGACAGAAUCUAGUGCCCCGACCGGGACUAGAGCCCAGUGUGCCGGCUCCGCAAGGCGGAGUAUUAGCCUAGUGAGCUGCGGCGCCGGCCUUCUCUGGAUUUUUAAAAGGAAAUAGUUGUAAGAGAAAAGAUAAAAAUGACUACUAUGACAUGGUUUUGCAGAGUGACAUAGUGCUACCACGACUGCAUGUAUAAAAACAAGCUUUUCCCCUACUGUGAUCAUCAACCUUUACACAGGCGUACUUUAUUCAGUUCAUAUCAGUGUACAAUGGCUAUUAAGCUUGUUCAUAAUUCUUGAGGUAUUUUCUGUAAAUUCUUGUAGAAAUGACUUAGGAAUAUGGCAUAGAAUUAUUAGUCACUUUCAAGGGUACCCUCUCUGUCAAAAGUAUAAUAAUCGAUGGCAUUUGACCAACUCAAUAGCAACUAAUUUUCCAGAAGGUUCUCAUCUCACGAAUGGAGGUUCUCAUCUACCAGAGAGUAAUUGGGUUGAUAUAUUUUAUGGACACAACUUGGAAGAGAAUAAUUGGAUUGGGAAAUAGAGAUAUCUGACUCAUGCCUCCAAAUAAUAUAGUUAGGUUUAUGUCUGAAGAGAAUCUCAACAGACUGCUAAAGUUGUAUCUAUGGCAGAGGGGAUUCCAACGAAAAUGGAAGUGACCCAUAAUUUGAUGCCUGUGAAAAGUCUUGCAUUAGAAAAGAAUUUCAACAUGAAGUAUGCUGGUCAACAUCCUAACAUAUCUAGUAUCAAUAUUAGAAAACAACACUAGGAUCAAAGACACACCCUUUAGAAUCAUUAGCAAAUGUACUAGACUGGUAGUCUGCAAAGGUAAUCCCCAUCAGGUAACGGUUUGUGUGGGUGUAGUUGAAGAUUUAACCUAUGAGAAAUGAAAGAGAAGUAAGAAAUGACCUGAGCUAUGAAGUGAGGCCUAGGAGUAUAGAUUAAGCAACUUCAGGUGAAGCAUUGAGACUUAAGGAACUUUUGAGACAGACUUAGAAAUGGAAUACAAAGAGUGGUUGAGUAGAAUCCAGCAGUUACUGUAUUUAGAAGUGAAGUGGGCUUAUAGGAGCCAAGAGAAAGGUCUAAUCACUAAUUGCUACUGCUGCUGUGGAUGAAAGCAGUGGAAAAACUAAACAAAGCAUCCUGGAUAUGUCUCAAAAAUAUUGCAUUGAAUUAUACCCUUGGAAAACAUAUUUAGGGCCAGGGAGUUGCACAGUCAUCUAUGUGACCCCACAAUUAUCUGUGUAUCAGGCCAUGCAUUCACAUAGGACAGUACAGAAAAAAAAACACAAGAAUCAAACUUGGUAAAUACUUGUAUUUUAUAGAAAAGGUAAACUUUGUUUAAAGUUAAGUCAUUAAUGUCAAAGGAAAAAAAAGAAGCUUCUAAACACGGUUAAAAAAUGAUCUUGUUUAUCUCAUCCUGAAAUCAGGUGAAGAUGAAAUAUGUAGUAAGAAUCAAAUGUGAAUUUUUCCAAAAAUCCUAUUAGUAGCAUAUGAUUUAAUUAAACCUGGAAUAUCUUGAAUAUUCAAGUUUUUGGACAAAAGUUUCUAGGGAAUCUUUAGAAUGUAAAAUGUAACCACUCUUUCAAAAAUAGCUGUUUACGGGCCAGCUACAUUGCACAGUAAUUAAUCCUCUGCGUGCGGCACUGGCAUCCCAUAUGGGUGCUGGUUCUAGUCCUGGCUGCCCCUCUUCCAAUCCAGCUCUCUGCUAUAGCCUGGGAAAGCAGCAGAAGAUGGCCCACGUGCUUCUGCCUCUGCAUGCGCAUGGGAGACCUGGAAGAAGCACCUGGCUCCUGGCUUUGGAUUGGCACAGCUCUGGUCAUUGUGUCCAUCUGGGGAGUGAACCAAUGGAAGGCCUUUCUCUCUUGUCUCUCCCUCUCACUGUCUGUAACUCUACCUCUCAAUUAAAUAAAUAAAAUAAUCUUUAAAAAAUUUUUAAAAAAUAAAAAGUUGCUGUUAAAAAUAAUUCAUUAACAGUAUUUGGGUUUUUUAAACUCUGUAUUUGUUUUUCAUUUUUACUAGAAAGACAGCAAGAGAGGGACAAGGUGAGGAUGAGAGAGGGGGUGAGAAAGAGAUCUUUCAUUUAUGGGUCCACUACUGAAAUACCUACAGUAGCCUAGAGCUGGAGCCCAGAAUUCAAUCCAGUUCUACCAUGUAGGUGCAGGAUCCAAGCACUUGAGACAUCAUUUGCUGUUUCACUGAGUGUUCAUUAGCAGGAAUCUAGAUUAGAAUCCAAGUUGGCCAAACUCCAUGCAGACAUUCUGAUUUGGGUUGCAGAAAUCUCUAGUAGCAUCAUAGCCACCGUACCUCUAUCUUUAAUGAAUGAAUUUUGAUAAUUUGAAAUCCACAAAAGAUAGUGUUGAAAGUGUAAGUCAACCUGAACUCUUUUUUGGGAAGUCAUUAUUUUUGAAAUCUGAUUAUUAUCUGAUUUUAUAGAAUAUUACUCAUUAACUCAUGGGGAAUAAUACUAUUAGAAAGAAGUCUAUAUUUUAAAAAAUAAUUUUCACAUUUUCUUAAGUCUAAAGAUGAACAGCAACACAUAAUGCUGCUUGCUGAGUUAAAUCAAGCUCUGCAGGACAAACUGGAUGAAGAGAUGAAGAAAAGUGGUGAUUUAGGAGACAAGAUAACUCAGCCUGCUCUCUGCUGUGGUCCAGGAGUGCAGUGGAGGAAGGCCCAAGUGCUUGGGCCCUGCACCCCAUGGGAGACCAGGAGAAGCACCUGGCUCCUGCCUUCGGAUCAGCGUGGUGCGCCGGCCGCAGCGCUCCAGCCGCAGCAGCCAUUGGAGGGUGAACCAACGAAAAAAGCAUCAUGUCAAAAAAGUUCCGAGUAUCUAAUGGAGAGUGGUGACAUUUCAAAAAGUAUACAAAAAGAACACAGAAUCCAUGUUGGGAUAUCUACACUCUCCAAAAUGAAAGCUCCUCAGGAAGCCAUUUCUAAAGAAUUGGAGGAAUCUAAGCAACUCCUUCUAGAGGGAUUUGAAGAUGUGAGAAGAAAACAAGAUGAGAUCAUUCAGGGUGUAGAAGCUUUUUCAAAGCAAGUGAAUGAAGCUAAUGAAGUGUUAGCAGAGGUCAGAACUAAAAAUUUUCUCCUGGAGAAACAACAGACUGGAACAUUAACCAAGUCUGUUUCUACGCAAACUGUUUCUACGCAAACUUCGGUAGCGUCACAUAGCGUUGGAAAUCGUGCUAAUAGUUUCUGGCUCAGCAGAGAUCUUACUCCACAACAAAACUUGGAGACUCCUACUUCAGCAACUCAGGCUUCACAUCACAACACUGCAGAGUCUUUGGACACGUUUGCCCUUCAGGAUCUUGACACCUCAACUUUAUGGGAAAGAUGUUUUCAGAUCAUUGAAAAAUAUAGGAGUCAAGAAAAUUUGCCUUCAUGCCAGAAUGAAGAUGUGGAAAGCACACCACAAUUUUAAGUAGCAAAUGAGAUGGAGCCACUGAGGAACUUAAAAAGUGACCCAGGAGCCAACAAUGAGUCCAAUUUAAGUCAACAUGUCAAAAGAAUAUGUACACAUUUUAAAGAAAAAAUAUGCUCUGUAUUACAAGCAAUUACUGACCACUGCUAUGUAACACAUUUACCAUUUACUUAUGCUUUAUAUUAUAAAAUUUUACUGACCACUGCUUAUGGAACACACCUGUUAUUUCUUUUUAAAUAUAUUAUGUGGGAAAAUCCUCAUUAACUGAAAACAUUUAGUGUUAUGUAUCUACAAUUGAAAUUUUGUAUUUCCAAUUUAUAUUUUUUGAAAGACAGAGAUAGUGGUAAGGGAGGGAGCAAGAAAAAGGGAAAGGGGAAAAGAGGGGGAAAACAGAGAGAUCCCCCUUCCAAUAGUACAGCACCCAUAUAUCUGCAGUGAAAUAUAGGUGGGCUGUGCUGAAGCCAGGAUCCAGGAAUUCAGUUCAGGCAUCCUACUUAUGUGGCAAGGAUCCAAUUACUUGUUCUAUCACUCGCCACUUCCCAGAGCACACAUUAUUGGAAGCUAGGAAUCAGGAUGGGAGCCUGGUCUUGCUAGGGAUUCCACCAGGGAUGCAGGAUAUUUCAAACGGCAUCUUAACUUCUGUUCCCAAUGGCAGGCCAGUUGCAGCACAUGAAACUGUUUGUUGGGAUGUAUAACUAACUUAGCACAGAUUUUGCAAAUGAAAACCAGUAUGAUUAACUUUCGCAAACUCAAUUGUCCAAAUGGUGGCCAUUAUAUAGCACCCAGAAAACCAAGUUGAAUGGAAUACUUUAGUGGGAUUAAUUAAGGGCUUCUUUGUAUUUGCCAAUUUUUGCUACUACAUACAAACCUAAUGAUUUCGAUAGACAUCAUUUUGGUAUACUGAUACUCUGGCCAGUGUCAAUAUCAUUGCUUGGAUGCAAUAUAAUUUUAUAGUGCUACCAAAAUUAUGUAAUGUUAACUUUAGGCAUUGAUUCAUACACCUUCUUCAUGGAGAAAUUAUGUUUGCCUGUGGUUUUCCAUGUUUCCUUUUUAGUUUUUAUUACCUUUUAGGAAACAAUCUUAAAAUUUAAAAAAAAAAAUUAAGUUUUAGUACAAAUAAUUUGCCCUCUUAAAGAAAGUGAGAGUCAUCUGCUGACAUUAUGCCAUCAGCUCUGACUACUUUGGAAUAUAUUUCCUAUAAGUAAGACAUACUAAAUACAAUAAAACACUCAGAAUCACAAAGUUAACACUAUUCUGUGUAUCCGCAGAUUCUUUUCCAGUUUUGUUACAUGUCUUGUGAUGUCCUUGAUAAUAAGAGAGUCCCAUUCAGAUCCAUGAAUUUCUUUUAGUUGUUGCCUUUCUUAGAUUUCUUCAAUCUGGAGGAGUUCCUUCCUUUUCUUUGACAUUAAUGACCAUGGAUCUUUUGAAGACUAAAUUCCAAUCAUGCAGAAUGUCCCUGAUUGGAUAUUUUCUGAUAUUUCAGUAUAAUUCGGUUAGGAUUAUACAGUUUUUGUUAAGGGCAUAACAGAAGGGAUUCUGUGAUCAUUGCAUACUGUCAUGUAACCUACACUUUUGAUUUCUCCCAUUACUAGUGAUGUUGCUGAUGCUGUCUGUUGCAUUUCUCCUCUGUAAUGUUCCUUUUUUACAUUUCACUUAGUUUUAGUCAGGUUUCAUUUGAGACUAAAUAUCUGUUCUUUCUCAAUUUUUUUAUGAUUCAAUUUUUAUGUUUUUUUAGAAAACUUAUAUUUAAUAAAUAUAAAUUUUGAAAGUACAAUUUUUGGGUUAUAGCUAUUUUCCCCCACAUAACCACCCUUCCAUCCAAAAAUCAUCCCACCUCCUAUUCCCUCUCCCAUCUCAUUCUUCAUUAAGAUUAUUUUUGAUUAUACACAGAAUAUCAACUUAGUAUAUACUAAGUAAAGAUUUCAACAAUUUGUACCCACACAAAGUAUAAAGUACUGUUUGAAGAAUAUUUUUACCAUUAAUUCUCAUAGUACAACACGUUAAACACAGAGAUCCUACAUGGGGAGUAAGGACACAGGGACUCUUGUUUCUGAUUUAACAAUUGAUACUCUUACAUUUAUGACAUCAGUAAUAACCCGAGGCUCUUUUCAUGAGCUGCCAAGGCUAUGGAAGCCUCUUGAGUUCACAAACCCUGACCUUAUUUAGACAAGACCAUAAUCAAAGUGGAAAUUCUCCCCUCCCUUCAGAGAAAGGUACCUCCUUCUUUGAUGGCCCAUUGUUUCCGCAGGGAUCUCACAGUGAUCUUUCAGUUAGGUCAUUUUUUGCCACAGUGUCUUGGCUUUCCAUGCCUGAGAAACUAUCAUGAGCUUUUUAGCGAAUCUGAAUGCCUUACGGCUGAUUCUGAGGCUAGAGUGCUGUUUAGGGCAUUUGCCAUUCUGUGAGUCUGCUGUGUAUACUGUAUACUGCUUCCCAUGUUGAGUAAUUCUCUCUUUUUAAAUUCUACCAAGUAUUAAUUAGCAGACACUGGUCUUAUUUAUGUGAUCCCUUUGACACUUAAUACUAUCUUUAUGGUCAAUUAUGAACUUAAACUGAUCACUUUAACUAGUAAGAUGGCAUUGGUACCCUGCCAACUUAAUGGGAUUUGGAGUCCAUAGCACGUUUUUAGCUUUACCUUUAGGGGUAAGUCCAAGUGAGCCUCUGCCGAACUGUACAUCUCUUCCCUCUCUUAUUGCCACUCUUAUUUUUAACAGGGAUAAAUCUUCAGUUCAAUUCUAACUGCUAAGAAUAAUUGCAUGUUAAAUAAAGAGAUUGACCAAUGGUAUUAAGUAGAAAAAGAAAAUACAAAAAAAAAUAGUAAGUUUUUUCUUGACAGUAAGGACAAGGGCUGAUCAAAUCGCUGUUCCUCAUAGUGUCAGUUUCACUUCCACCAUUUUCAAUGUAGGGGCUUGGUUAGUUGUCACAGAUCAGGGGAACAUAUGAUAUUUGUCCCUUUGGGACUGGAUUAAUUCACUCAGCAUGAUGUUUUCCAGAUUCCUCCAUUUUGUUGCAAAUGACUGGAUUUCAUUUCUUUUAUCGAUGAGUAGUAUUCUACAGAGUACAUAUCAAAUGAUUUCUUUAUCUAGUCUACUGUUGAUGGGCAUUUGGGUUGAUUCCAUGUCUUAGCUAUUGUGAAUUGAGCUGCAAUAAACAUUAGGGUGCAGACAACUCUUAUUUGCCAAUUUAAUUUCCUUUGUGUAAAUUCCAAGGAGUGCAAUGGCUGGGUUGUAUGGUAGGGUUAUAUUCAGGUUUCUGAGGAAUCUCCAGACUGACUUCCAUAGUGGCUUGACCAGUUUGCAUUCCCACCAACAGCGGGUUAGUGUCCCUUUUUCCCCACAUCCUCACCGGCAUCUGUUGUUGGUAGAUUUCUGUACAUAAGCCAUUCUAACUGGGGUGAGGUGAAACCUCAUUGUGGUUUUGAUUUGCAUUUCCCUGAUGGCUAGUGAUCCUGAUCAUUUUUCAUGUGUCUGUUGGCUGUUUGGAUUUCCUCUUUUGAAAAAUGUCUAUUGAGGUCCUUGGCCCAUCUCUUGAAUGGAUUGAAUGUUUUGUUGUUGUGGCAUUUCUUGAUCUCUUUGUAGAUUCUGGUUAUUAAUCCUUUAUCAGUUGCAUAAUUUGCAAUUAUUUUCUCACAUUCUGUUGAUUGCCUGUUCACUUUAAUGACCUUUCCUUUUGCAGUACAGAAACUUCUCAAUUUGAUGUAAUCCCAUUUGUUAAUUUUGGCUUUGUCUACCUGUGCCUCUGGGGUCUUUUCCAAGAAGUCUUUGCCUGUGCCUAUAUCUUGCAGAGUUUCUCCGAUGUUCUCUAAUAAUUUGAUGGUUCCAGGUUGUGGUGUUGAUCUUUAAUCCAUGUUAAGUGGAUUUUUGUGUAAGGUGUAAGGUAGGGGUUUUGCCUCAUACUUCUGCAUGUGGAAAUCCAGUUUUCCCAGCACCAUUUGUUGAAGAGACUGUCCUUGCUCCAGGAAUUGGUUUUAGCUGCUAGAUCAAAUAUAAGUUGGUUGUAGAUGUUUGGAUUGAUGUCUAGUAUUUUUACUCUGUUCCAUUGGUCUUGCCAUCUGUUUCUGUAUCAGUACCAUGGUGUUUUGAUUAUAACUGCCCGGUAGUCUGUAGUAUGUCUCGAAAUCUGGUAUUGUGAUGCCUCUGGCUCUGUUUUUAUUGUACAAGAUUCUCUAGCUAUUUGAGGUCUCCUGUGCCUCCAUGUGAAUUUCAGCAUCAUUUUAUCCAGAUCUGAGAAGAAUGUCUUUGGUAUUUUGAUUGGUAUUGCAUUGAGUCCGUAAAUUGCUUUGGAAGAAUGGACGUUUUGAUUAUAUUGAUUCUUCCAAUCCAUGAGCAUGGAAGAUUAUCUCACUUUUUGGUAUCCUCUUCUCUUUCUUUAGUUUUGUAAUUCUCAUCAUAGACAUCUUUGAUAUCCUUAGCUAAGUUUAUUCCAAGGUAUUUGCUUUUUUAUUGUCGCUAUUUUGAAUGAGAUAGAUAGAAGUUCUUUCUGAGCCAUGGCAUUGUCUGUAUAUAGAAAAGUUGUUGAUUUUUUUUUCCUUUCUUUCUUUCUUUUUUUUUUUUUUGACAGGCAGAGUGAACAGUGAGAGAGACAGAGAGAAAGGUCUUCCUUUUGCCAUUGGUUCACUCUCCAAUGGCCACCACGGCAGGCGCACUGCGCUGAUCCGAUGGCAGGAGCCAGGUACUUAUCCUGGUCUCCCAUGGGGUGCAGGGCCCAAGUACUCGGGCCAUCCUCCACUGCACUCCCUGGCCACAGCAGAGAGCUGGCCUGGAAGAGGGGCAACUGGGACAGAAUCCGGCACCCUGACCAGGACUAGAACCCGGUGUGCUGGCACUGCAAAGCGGAGGAUUAGCUAGCCUAGUGAGCCGCGGCACCGGCCAAGAUGUUGAUUUUUGUGCAUUGAUUUUAUAUCCUGCUACUUUGCCAAACUCUUCUAUGAGUUCCAAUAGUCUCUUAGAGGAAUUCUUUGGAUCCCCUAAAUAAAGGAUCAUAUUGUCUGCAAAGAGGGAUAAUUUUAAUUCUUCCUUCCCAACUUGUAUCCCUUUAAUUUCUUUUUCUUGCCUAAUGGCUCUGGCUAAAACUUCCAGUACUAUAUUGAAUAGAAAUGGUGAGAGUGGGCAUCCCUGUCUGGUAACAGAUCUCAGUGGAAAUGCUUCAGACUUUUCCCCAUAUGAUAUCAGCCUUGGAUUUUUCAUAAAUUACCUUGAUUGUGUUGCGGAAUGUUCCUUUUAUACCCAAUUUGUUUAGAGUUUUCAUCAUGAAAGGGUGUUGUAUUUUAUCGGAUGCUUUCUCUGCAUCUAUUGAGAUAUCAUAUGGUUUUUCUUCUGUAGUUGGUUAAUGUGGUGUAUCACCUUGAUUGAUUUGCGAACGAUGAACCAUCCCUGCAUACCAGGGAUAAAUCCCACUUAGUCUGGGUGGAUGAUCUUUCUGAUGUGUUGUUGCAUUCUAUUAGCCAGAAAUUUAUUGAGGAUUUUGGCCUCUAUUCAUCAGGGAAAUUGGUCUGUAAUUCUCUUGCCUGCAUCUUUUUCAGGUUCAGGAAUUAAGGUGAUGCUGGUUUCAUAGAAAGAAUUUGGGAGGAUUCCCUCUCUUUCAAUUGUUUUAAAUAGUUUGAGGACAAUUGGAGUUAGUUCUUUAAAUGUCUGGUAGAAUUCAGCAGUGAAUUCGUCUGGUCCUUGGCAUUUCUUUGUAGGGAGGGCCUUUAUUAAUGAUUCAAUUUCUGACUUGCUUAUGAGUCUGUUUAGGUUUUCUGUGUCUUCAUAGUUCAAUUUAGGUAGGUUGUAUGUGUCCAGCAAUCUAUCCAUUUCUGCUAGAUUUCCCUGCUUGUUGGCAUACAACUCUUUGUAGUAAUUUCUGAUGACUCCUUAUUUCUGUGGUGUCUGUUAUUACAUUCCCCUUUUCAUCUCUGAUUUUAUUUAUGUGGGUCUUUUUUUAGUUAGUUGAGCCAAUGGGGUGUCAAUUUUGUUUAUUUUUUCAAAAAAACCAGCUCUUCAUUUUGCUGAUCUUUUGUAUUUUUUUUGAAUUCAAUUCUUUUGAUUUCCUCUCUAAUUUUAAUUAUUUCUCUUCUACUAGUUUUGGGUCUGGUUUGCUGCAGUUUUUCUAGAUCCUCGAGAUGCAUUGAUAGCUCAUUUAUUUGGGGCCUUUCCAAUUUCUUGAUGUAGGCACCUAUUGAUAUAAACUUUCCUCUUAACACUGCUUUUGCUGUAUCCCAUAAAUUUUUAUAUGUUGUGUUGUUAUCAUUUACUUCCAGAAAGUUUUUGAUUUCUCUUUUGAUUUCUGUAUGACCCACUGUUCAUUCAGGAGCAUGUUGUUCAGUCUCCAUGUGUUUGCAUAUGCUCUAGAGAUUCCUGAGUUGCUGAUUUCUAGCUUUAUUACAUUCUGGUCUGAGAGACGCCUGUAUGAUUUUGAUUCUUUUGAAUUUGCUAAGACUUGCUUUAUGGCCUAUGGUAGGUUCUGUGUACUGCUGAGAAGAAUUUAUAUUCUUUAAGUGCAGGAUGAAAAGCUUUAUACAUAUCUGUUAGAUCCAUUUGAUCUAUAUGUCAAUUAAAUCUACUGUUUCUUUGUUGAUUUUCUGUCUGGUUGAUCUGUCCUUUGCUGAAAGUGAAGUAUUGAAUUCCCCCACUACUACUGUAUUGGAGUCUUAGUCUCCUUUCAGUCUCUUAACAUAUCUUUUAAAUAUCCCAGUGCCCUGUAACUAGGUGCAUAAAUGUUUAUAAUAGUUACAUCUUCCUGUUGGAUUGAUCCCUUAAUCAUUAUUUAGUGUCCCUUUUUGUUUUCUUUUAACAGUUUUGUUGUUAAAGUCUAUUUUGUCUGAUAUUAAGAUAGGCAUGCCAGCUCAUUUUCAUUUUGGUUGGCAUGGAAUAUCUUUUGCCAACCUUUCACUUUCAGUCUGUAUGCACCUUUGUUGGAAAGAUGUGUUUCUUGUAAGCUGCAAGUAGCUGGGUUUUGUUCCUUAAUCCAUUCAGCCAGUCUGCGAAUUUUAGCUGGAGAGUUGGGGCUAUUUACGUUCAUUAUGACUGUUGGUAAGUAGUGACUUGACCUGUCAUUUUUCCAAAGAUAUAUUUGAACUUCCUGUGAUCUUUUACUGAGAGAUUUUUUUUCCUUUACCUUCUUUUGUGUUGAUGACAGUGUUUCUGUGUGUAACACAUGUUAAGCACCUUUUGCAGGGCUGGACGAGUGGUGACAAAUUCUUUCAAUUUCUGUUUGCUAUGAAAGGUCUUUAUUCCACCUUCUUUCACAAAUGAGAGCUUUGCAGGAUAUAAUAUUCUGGGCUGGCAGUUUUUUCUCUUAGUGCUUGGGCUAUAUCUUGCCAUUCCCUCCUAGCCUGUAGGGUUUCUGAUGAGAAGUCUGCUGUGAGUCUAAUUGGAGAUUCUCUGAUGGUAAUCUGGCAAUACUCUCGCACAUUUUAGAAUCUUUUAUUUAUGUUUCACUGUGGUGAGUUUGAUUACAACGUGUCAUGGAGAGUAUCUGUCCUGGUCCUAUCUAUUGGGAAUUCUGUGUGCUUCCUGUACUUGAGGUCUCUUUCUCCAAACUUAUGAAGGUUUCUACUAGUAUCUCACUAAAAAGGCCUUCUAAUCCUUUUUCUCUCCGUGCCUUCAAGAAGUCCCAGAACCUGAAUGUUGGGUUUUUUAAUAGUAUCCUGUAGAUUCCCAAUAAUAUUUUUUAGAUUUCUAAUUUCCUCUUCUUGUCUUUGGUUUGACUGUAUAAUUUGCUGUGCUCUGUCUUCUAAGUCUGAUAUUCUCUCUUCUGCCUCACUGAUUCUGUUUUUAAGGCUCUCAACUGCAUUUUUAUUUGUUCUUCUGAAUUCUUCAUUUCAUUUUGAUUUCUCUUCAGUAUCUCAAUUCCAUGUUCUAUUGGAUUCUUCAUUUCAUUUUGAUUCUUCCAAAGAUUUCAUUUUCUUGAGAGAGAUUUUCUUUCAUGUCCUGCAUGGAUUUCAGUAGUUCAUGCAUUUGUUUUUGAUUACUUCUAAGUAUUCUAAUCAUCAAAUUUUUGAGUUCCAUUUCUUGCAUUUCUUCUUUCUCAUCAACUUCAUUUCAUAAUCUUGUAUUGAAGUGUCAUGUUUUUUUUUUUUUUUUUUGGACAGGCAGUGAGAGAGAGACAGAGACAGAGAGAACGAUCUUCCUUCCAUUGGUUCACCCCCCAAAUGGCCACUAUGGCCAGCAUGUUGUGCCGAUUCGAAAUCAGGAGCCAGGUGCUUCCUCCUGUUCUCCUAUGUGGUUGCAGGGCCUAAGCACUUGGGCCAUCCUCCACUGCCUUCCCGGGCCACAGCAGAGAGCUGGACUGGAAGAGGAGCAUCCAGGACAGAACCAGCACCCCAACCAGGACUAGAACCUGGAGUGCCGGUGCCGCAGGUGGAGGAUUAGCCUAGUGAGCCACGACGCUGGCCAAGUGUCAUGUUCUUUUGGGAGUAUCAUAUUGUCUUCCUUAUUCUUGUUUCUUGGAUUGUUUCAAUUGUGGUUUGGCCUUUGUGGAGAUACUCAUUGAUUUCUUCUCUCCCUCCCCCCCACUUCAGUGCCUUUUAUUGUUUUACAAUGACUUUGUAGAUAAUUGGAAUGUCUGAAUCUCUAGAGGCUUGUGGUGGGUGUGGCCAGAGAUCCAUGUUCAGUUUUUCAAGAUUAAGGGCAUGCCUAAGGUGACACCCCCAGGUUUGGCAUGGUAAAUCUUCCCUCCCUUUUAUUUUUUAAUCAAAUGGGAAGCAAUUCUGCUCAGCUGAGCUCUUCUCCUCGAUGGCAAUCAGUGCCUGAGUGCUAGCACGAUUGGGCAUAAUAUUCAUCUGCUCUGUUCCAAGGACCAUGCAAAGGAUCUGUGUAGUCCUCAGUAUAAGUUCAUAUUCCCCUGCAAUGUCUCUCCCGGGUAACCAGAGCUGUCUGAGCUUGCAGCAUCUGCCAAUGAGACUCAAAGUCUCAGCCACACCUUGAGUUCUCCCACACCCUCAGGUUUUUUUUCCACAGUCCCAGUUCAGAAGCAUCAGUCACAAGUUCCUAGCUGCCUGUUAUUUCUCCCUACCAGAGUCUGGAGUCUCCACUCAGCUGAUUGCUGGUUGCAGCCCAGAGCUGGCACAGCUGUUACAUAUGUCCAAAAUGGCGCUGACUCUGUUGGCUCCUAUGUCUUUGUAAGGUGAUUCAAAACGUGUCUGUACUGUCCCUUUUAUUUUUUAUCUCUAGUUAGGCUAGUGUACUUUCCCCUACAGGGCUUCAAGCCUCAUUCCCUCUAGGCCCUUCCUGCUGCUUUUUGGCCAGUGUCUCAGGCUACUGCAGUCUCACUUCACUUUCCAGUGCUGGUGCCUAGGCUCUCGGCUAUUUGAAUUCCAAGCUGUGGGUGCCCAAGCCCUCCAUGUAGGUCCACUGUGUCCCUCUAAUUACAGAAGAGUUUCCUCUGCCAUUUUUUCCCUAACUCUUCCCUUAGACUACACUAACACCACUUUUAUUAAACUAUCUUCCUCUGGGCUAGAUCAGUAAGCUCCUCCCUAUUCUGAAACCUUGGAACUGACUGACAAGCUUCCUUAAUGCAUAUGGUCUCAGCGCAGCAUUUUAAGAGCUCUCAAAUUUUCUUUUUUUUAAUUUUCAACAUAUUUUUUUACUUCUAUCAGUAUAAAUCCAUGUUUUUUUUUCCCCAAGGGUUCUAUAUAUUGACAGUUUGUUUCCUACCAGUUCCUGGAGGUAUUUUAUUUUAUUUUAUUUUUCUGCUCCUACUCCUAGAACAAUAAUGAGAAAAAGUGAAUAUUAUAGGUAUUAAUGUAUCAUUGUUAUUUCAAAGGAAAAUAGUAUAUAGAUGUUGUAUUUGGUAUUUUUGUUUUGUUUGAUUUUUGUAGAUAGUCUUAGUGAAUUAGUGUUCUAUUGCUAUAUAACAUCAUCACAAAAUUACUUUCUCAAAGUCACAUGCAAUUGCAAUCUCAUAUUUUGUCUGAGUCCAUUCCUAGAGGCUAGUCCCAGUUCUUGACCUUGAGGACUACCUCAAAUCACAGGAUAAUCCAGUAUAACCUACUUUUGUACUAACUUUUUUUAAUUAAUGAUUUUGGAAUUGUAAAACAUCUGCAAAACUUCACAAUUCCCAUACUGUAAUCAUCAGAGGGAAGUCACAGAUCAUGCUCACACUCAGCAGAAGCCAACACAACUUGAGAAUACUAAGAGACAGAAACCACUGUCGCCACACUCUCAAAUGUCCACCUCAGCUACAUGGAGGAAGUUCCUUGAUCACAGUAGUUUUUUUAAAUUCUUACCACAAGUGAAGGUUAAAUGUUAUAAGAUGUUUAUUUUGCAUAAAUGUAGAUUUGUUUGAAAAUAGAAUUAGAGUUAAGCGAGGAUGGCUAAGAAAUGCAUCUUUGAUCAUCUUCAUGGAAUUUUAAAGAUUUGUUAUCUAAACUUCUGUUAAUGGUGGCUAGAAUCUCAAGGGUCUCAGGACUGAAAUGUCUGAGGCUCUGAACACCUCUUUGCUUUACCCACAGCAGAUUGGAAAAAAGAACAGUCUGUUUCUUUCACUCUGACACCAGUCAGCUUUUUGUGCUUUCUCAGUGAUCAGUGGAUUGUUAAAACUCAUCCAGCUUUCUAGACUUCCUACAGUUUGAACUGAAGUGUGUUUAUGUAUGAUACUAAAGGAAACACACAAGCCUGAAAAUACCCUGUAUGGAAAUAAUGAGACCUUGAAGAGACAUUAAUUAACUUCCUAUUUUAAUCUGUGGCAUCUAUGUAGCUUCUAAGUUCUUUUAAAGAAGAUUUAUUUAUUAUCUAUUUAGAAGAGCCAUAGCUCCUUGAAGUUCUUUCCCAACAAAGCUUAAAUCUAUCAAGUGUGAUUUGUAAUCAAUUACAAAUGCGACAUGGACAGAAAGAUACUAAGGAAUUUAAAAAUCAAUAUUUGUAUAUCCUUAAUGUUUCAGCACAUCUUCUCAUAGCUUAAUUCUUUUAUUACAGCUGAAACUGAGACCCUAAAUAAUGUAUUGAAUUUUAUAUACCAUCAGACUCCUGUCUCUAGCCUUCCUUCCUUACAUUGACUCGCUGAAUUGAGGGACUUUUAUAGCCAGCCCUGGAAGUUUAUUAUCAGAUAGCACCUUAAUGACUGGAAUAGACUCAAGGAGUUUCAUUUAGGGGAAUUUUAGGCCCAGAGCAAAAAGCAUUGAAGCCCACUGGCCAUCCAAACCCUGGUCUGAAGAGUUUGGCAUUACUGACUAGUGAGGAACUUCAGCAUGAUCUGAGCCUGUAACUAGAUGAGAUAACCACUGUGACUCCAGCCAGCCCCUUAUUGCCCAGCUGAAGAACACCAUAUGGCUGUCCCUAUUCUACUCUCCUAAUAGUCUGACUCCCACCUUCUUACAGCCUCCUUUUAAAAAUUCCAAAACACCCUUAUUCAGCACAUUGGUAGUUCUGGAGUUAGAAGUCUUCUACCCCCUCACCUGUUGAUAGACUGAAUGGUAUCUUUUCUUACCCUCACAUCUUAAUAGUAUUUUGCCUGAGCACUGGGGACAGGAACCAAGAACUUUCAGAAAUGGAAAAUUUUGGCAAAUGUGGCAGAUAGGCUGACACCCUUGUUGCUGCCAGGUGCCAAUGGAUAGAUGGAUAGAACAAUUGGCUGUGGCAAUGCACCAAGGUGUACCCACUCAAGCUGUUGGAGGAGGGAGAGGCCACUUCAGUUGGUGUUAACAGUCCCUGCUUUUGAGGUUUUGCCUUCUGGGAGAAACAGGGACAAUCCCAGCAGCUGCCAGAGCCACUUGUUGCCCUGGGGAAAUUCAUAUAUUAUGUUCCAUCUUUGUUUUUGUGGUUUUAAAAAUAUUUAUGUUAGGGGAGCUUUUACUAGUACUUCCUCUUCAGUGGCUCAGAAGGCUAGUGCAGCUUUCUCCAUGACAACAGUAGCUGUUUCUUGAGUGCACACUGAGUAGGUGGUGUCAAGUAGUACUGGGUUCUGAACUUAAAUGAUCUUGUGGAACUUUCACAACAACUUAGCCUGCUUCUUAGGCUUUAACCCCAGGGAGCUUCAUUUUUAUCAUCUCUAAUGCGAGAUUAAUAACACUUUCUUGGCUGACGCUAGGGAGCUCGAAGUUGCCAAGGAAUUCUGAGCUGAACCUUGAUUGAAUAAACAUUUUAACAACAGAUCUGAUUUCUUGGGCAAUGUAAUCUGGAACACGUGGUGGAGAAGAACGGUGUUUUGUUUGUUGGUGAGCUAUCUGCUGAGAAACAGAAAGCGUCACACUGAAAACCAAUAAAGGUCUAAACUGGAGGUUAAAUGCUGCUUGCUGCUCUCCCUAAAUAAAUGGCUGAGAAUUCUAUACAAAUAGUAUUGCUUCUUAGGAGGCCCUACUACCUGUAUUGCUGUGCUCCUGUUUGAUAUUAAGAAAACAAAGCAUCCCAAAAGCUGUGCAAAAGCUGCUCAAAGACAUUUAAGACAAACAAGUGCUGUGUUUUCCUACGGUGUCUUUUACUUCCAGGUCUGGCAAGGCAGUAAUAUUUGACAACUAUCUGCUUGUAGCAAUUCUGUGUGACACAUACCUCACCUGAUUUUACCCUAAGAACCUGCGGGCUGCUCAUACAAGGAAUCCUCAGAAAAGUUCGUGGAAGAUACAUAUCACGAAAAAUCAUGUGUGGAUUUUGAAAUUCUUUUGAACCAAAAUAAAUUUAUCUUUUCAUUCUAAAAAAAAAUAUUUAUGUUAAAGACAGAGUAAAAGAGAAAGAGAGAACUUCCAUCUGUUGAUUCACUUUCCCAAAUGGCUGAAAAGGCCAGGGCUAGGCCAGGCCAAAGCUAAGACCCUAGAACUCCACUGGCUCUCCCUUACGGGUGCAGAGGGCCAUCUGCUGCUGCUUUCUCAGGACCAUUAGCAGGGAGCUGAAUCAGAAGUGUAACAGACAGAACUUGAACUGCUGCUCAUAUGGGAUGCCAGCAUUGCAGGGGGCUGCUUCUGCCUCUGUGCAUCACUGCCAGCUGUACCACGGUUCUUUUAAUCAGUUUUCCUUUCAUCGUUUUGACCAUCUUCUAGAAUGUAGUUUAAUUGCGGACUCUAUUCCUUGGCUUUCAGGUCAGUUUCUGUAUGCUCUUUUCCUCUCCAGUUCUGACUCUAGUAUGACUGGACAGCAAAUUUUUAUCUUAAAAUCCUAGAUGACAGGAUAACUUGAUUCUAUACUAGUGGUUUUACCCCUUGGUACCUGGCCAAGAAAACCAUUUGUGUUUCACUAAGGUAAUUUCUUGUGUUAUUUGCUUUCUUUGUUUCUUUGUGUUAUUUGUUUUCUUUGUUUCUCAUUGUUUGCAAAGAGCUGAGUGUUAAUAAGGAAGAUUGCUUUGGGUGCUUACUCAUCUCCCAUUAUUUGGUGAUCACUGUAAGUAUGACUACAUCAAGUCUAUAACUGAUUAAAUGACUCUAAGUGGGUGGAUACUAUUUCACAAUGAAAAGUGUCCUUAUUUUGAACAGUUACUUUGAGGGACUCCUUCCCAUCACUGGCCCAGAGAUUGAAUAGGGACAGUUUCAUAAACCUGGCAGAUAUGUUCUGAGACAUUGUAUCAACAAUUCUGAUUCUUCUCUAAAACCCUAAGCAAUGUUCUUAAAUACAGAUUUCUGACUGCUUUAAAGUCAACGGAAUAGGUAAGAAUGUCCAAAACUUGGGGGGGAAAUCCUGGAACACCUAGAAAGUGUCUAAUGUAAAACAGGACAAAAAUUAAUCAGACUAAAUGAAUUAAUGACAUCUGGGGAUUUCCAUCUUUCAUUUAAAGUGUUGUGUGUUCUAAUAUUUCAAUGUUUCACCUUCUAGGUUCAGGAAAACUGUUCCUGUGAUUUCAGUGGUUUACUGUAUUUUGGUGAAGUGUUGUUCUGUAACCAGUGAAGAAGUGUUUACUUUCCACUCCCUCCACGUAAUUGCUCUAAUCUUCAAAAAUUUUUAUAAAUAUGGUAUAUGUGGGGGGGCAAUGUGAUUGUCUUCAUGAACUCAUCAGAAUCUGUCCUCAUAACAGAAUAUAUUUAGAAACAUUGGCAUAUCUAAAUCUCAUGCAUAAAAUGCCUGGCUUGUAGGGUUUUCAGUCUUGCAGUGAGUAAAUGGACUUCUCAUAUUUUAGCAGUUCCAAAAACUUCAAAAUACUAGACACUGUAGUUUUAAAAAAAAUCUAGGUUUGUCAUAGAUUUGCCUUUUAAUUUGGAGAAUUUUCCAAGUGUGAGAUUAUAUGGCAAAGGAAAUUUAGUUACUGUAUUUAAGGCAAAUAGCCAAUCAACAAACUAUAACAUACCUGCUUUUAGACUGUAAAUCUGUUCAUUGUUUUUAGACUGCUAACUUGGAGAGUUUUCUGGGUCUGAGACUAACAUGGAUACUCAACCUUUCAUGCUGUACUUACAUGAAUUGUCAGUUAUCAUGUCUACUAUUUGAUUGUAUCCCUAUUCACUAUUUUUAAGAUGUCAACCUGAUUUAUCUUGUGCUUGGUGUUUUCCUAUUUGAGUGUGUGCCUACUGCCUGUAAGAAGUCUACAGAAGUACAAUUCUCAGCAGGAUAAUGCCUGGCACUUUGAGAUGAUGAUUGGAACCUACAGAAUAAACAAAACUAAGUUUAACAAUGGACUCCAGGUUACAGAUUGGGAACACUUUGUGUAUCAAAACAGCUUCACAGGACAGGACAAUCAAGGGUUGGAUAUGAAGUAGGAACUCUCCCAGAAACUUCAGAAUCAAUAGCACUGCCACGAGGGAGAGGAAUGCUAGUGUGUCAUCAUUGUGGAAUGAGGAGGCACCUGCAAGAUAAAGCUGUGCAAAGAUAAACUGGGCCAGAAUCCAUCAUGGUUAAGUUCACAUGCAGCUGUCCAUAUUCUUUGAUCCUCUAUUCCUGAUUCCUCCUUCCUUGUAGCCUCCUUUAAAAUCCCCAAAUCAUCCUCUUUCAGCAGGGUGGCAAAUCCUGGGACAGAAGUAUGCUACCCCCUCAUCUUCAAUAGAUUAAAUUGUCUAUUUCUUUUAUGCUUAAACUUGUGCUUUUUAUUUUCAAUCAGCAUUGGGAACAAGGAAUGAGAUUUUAGUAACAACCACUUUGAGAAUGUGGAAAGAACUUGAAUUUUAUAAGAAAUAACCCAAGCUGGGAUGUGGAGUUGUCCACAACUAUGGUUGUAAAGGCAGUGGUCCUAACAGUGCUGUGCUGCCCAGUACACUGCCUGCACCCAGAUAACAUGCAGGCUAUGCCUGCAGGGUCUUGGCUCUUUAGGAAACAUAGAGACAUAAUGAGAUUCAUGGGUGAUAGAAAACCACUGCAGACUCGGUUGGCUGGGGAAGUGAUGGCAGAAUGAGAACAGAACAAACAUGGGUGUUUUUAUUUUUUUUUAAGAUUUAUUUUAUUUGAAAGGCUGAGUUACAGAGGGAGAGGGAUAGAUGCAGAUAGGGAGGUCUUCCAUCCACUGGUUCAAUCCCCAAAUGACUCCAAUGUCUAGAGCUGGACAAGGACAAACCAAGGAUCCAGGAGCUUCUUCUGGAUCUCCCCCAUGGGCACAAGUACCCAAUAACUUGGGCCAUCUUUUGAGCUUUUCCCAGGCAUGGUAGCAGGGAGCAGGAUUGAAAGUGGUACAGCUGCUACUUGAACUGGUGCCCAAAUGGGAUUCUGGUCUUGCAGGCAGCAGCCUAACCCAUUAUGCCAGAAUGUCAGCCCCCAAACUUGGGGAAAAAUACCCAGGAUCACCUAGCCAUCAGGGAAAUGCAAAUAAAAACCACAAUGAGGUUUUACCUCAAGCUAAUUAGAGUGGCUAUAACUCAAAAAAUUUAAAAAAUGCAGUGAGGAUGGGAGAAAAACAUACAUUAAUGAACUGUUGUUGGCAAUGUAAAUAAAUAUAACUAUUAUCAAAGAGUGUACAGACAAUCCUCAGAAAUCUGGAAAUAGAUAUACCAAUGAACAAGCCAGCCUACUCCUGGGAAUUUACUCAAAGGGAAUGAAAUCAGCCAAUGAAAGGGGUUUGAUGCCCCCAGGUUUAUAGAAGCUAAAUUAGCAAUGGCUAAGAUAUGGAAUCAAUGCAGAUGUCCAUCAACCAAUAACUGGAUAAAUGAAAUGUGGUAGAUAUACAUUACAGAAUAAUACUCAGCCAUAAAAAAGACUGAAACCCUAUCUUUUGCAACACAAUGAAAAUUUGGGAAGUAAUCAAUGAUGAGAGCAUAAAGAAAAAGAUCUUUUAGAAUGUGGUAACAUGUUUGUAACUAGACUGAGGGGAAAGAGGUAUUGACGAAAGGUAUGAAAAAGAUAGUCGUAUGGGAUGUAACACACAUGGAAAAUUAUAUAGACUAGGAGAAAAUAGUCCAAGACUUAAGACAAAAAAAGAACUCAGCUCAGAAUACUGUACCCUGCAAAGCUCUCAUUUUGAAUGAAGGUGAAAUAAACACCUUCCAUAACAAACAGACAUUGAAAGAAUUUGUCACCACUCAUCUUACAAAACAUGCCUACAAAAGCCUUGCAAAAGAUGCUUAAGGAUGUGUUACACAUAAGAACAAAGAAAGAUAGUCAUCAUUAUGCAAGAAUGUGAAGGCAGAAAAUCUGCCAAUAAACACAAAGGAAAUGCAAUGUAAACAAUCGGUAUAUUUAUGGAAAAAUAGUAGGGGCAAGUCAUUAUUUAUCAAUAGUAACCAUGAAUUUAAAUGGUGCUAACUCUCCAGUUAAGAUACACAUGGAUUAAAAAAUAAUACCUAUCUAUUUGCUGCCUACAGGAAACAUACCUCACCAACAAAGAUACAAAAAGUAAAAGGAAGAAAAGUAUAUCCCAUGCUAACAAGGCAAAAAAGCACAGGGGUAGCCAUCCUAAUACUGGAAAAAAUAGACUUUAACACAAAAACUAUUAAAAGUGAGAAAGAAAGGCACUAUAUAAUGAUUAAAGAAUCAAUUCAACAUGAAGAUAUGACUAUAAUAAACAUGUACCCAAGUACAGGGUGUAUCAGUUAUUUAAAGUAAAUAUGAAUGAAUAUUAAUAAAGACAUAGACUUGAAUACAGUACUAAUGUAUGAUUUUAAUAUUGUCUAUAGUCAAUGCACAGAUCAACUAGAUAAAAUCAACAAAACCAACAGUACUAAUUGACACUAUGUUCCACUUGGACCUAAUUGAUAUCUACAGAACUGUUCAGUCCACAGUUGCACAAUACACAUUCUUCCCAUCAGUGUGUGGAACUUCCUCUAAAAUAUAUUUGCAUGUUUAGUUAUAAAGCAAGUCUCAGCAAAUUAAAAAAAUCAUACCAUGCGUCUUCUCUGAUCACAAUGGUUGGUUGUAGCAGGGGGCAAUCUUUCCUCUGAGCACCCUGCAGAGAUGGAGAAGCCAUCUGUGUCUGUGUGUGCAGCACCUCAGGAAGCUUUGUGCAGAUUUCAGAAAGGAGAAGCAGUAGUUACCCUUGCUGAGGGACUUCGAGGUGGUGGGACUCAUUGCUCCCUGUCACUCAUGGUAGUCCCAUGAGGAGUCUUUUGUGAAGCAACUGGAAGUACACAGAACAUUCAAGAGUGCUUCCAGGAGGCAGUGGGCACAGGAAGAAGGAGCACUAAGGACCCUGAUCCCAGAUAGGGGUGCAUUGACAACAGGACCCCAACUGACCUAUACAUUCAUGCAUUGAUGUCCCAGUUCUCCAACUCUCAUAAACACUUUGCAGAGGAAUUAUGUCUCUCCAUCCUUUCCUUUCUGUGCAUCACAGAGUAUUUGCACUUAUUAACUUUAUGUAUGUAUGAGAUUCUAGUUCUUUGUGUUAAGUCUUCUGUUAAUUGGGAGCAUGGUCUUGGUGGUCUCAGGUUUUUGUCACUAUUGCCAAUUAUAUAAACAAAGAUAAUAGAAUUGAAAAUUAAAUAUGAUUAUCAUUGUAAUAAAUAUAAGAAGAAGAUAUUUGAUGAGGAACAUUCAAGUAAUAAACACACAGGCAGUAUCAAUGUUAAGAAUACUUCUUUUUAAACAAUUAGUUGAGUGCAGGAGCUAGGAAAAUGGAUAAUGCACCAGUAACAAUGAUAAUAAUGUUUUCUCUUUGGAAAAUAAAAAUCAUGCAGUAACAUCAAAAAUUUAGUUUUCUGAGUAUCUUGACAUCUGGAUUUGAAUUUUAAUUACAAAUAAAGGCAAGACUACAAAUGAAUACAGACUUAUUUCACAUAUCAUCAGAUUUGGUGCUGAAAAUAAAAAUAAAUGAUUUGUAAUAACUGCUCAGAAUAAAUUAUAAUGCUCCAAAUCUUUAUAUUAAAUCCUCCUUGAAACUAUAAAAUGAGAUAUCCUCUUCUAUGCAACAAAAAAGUAAUACUAUCAAUACCUUUAGGAGUAUGCAUAUUUUUCUUGUUAUAUUUAGACAUUGUUUUUAUCUCCUUCACUUUAUAAGACUAAUAGGUUUCAUUUAGGGAUUCUUUCUGAGGGAAAUCUCAUAUGAGAUUAAGCCAAUGUUGCAAAUUUAAAAUUCGAAUUCCACAGUAGACAGACAAAAGUAUUUGAAUUUAUAUGGCUAAUUCCUUAUAUUUUUUUUGAGAGGUUGAGUUACAGACAGUGAAAAGUAGAGUCAGAAAGGUCUUCCAUCCACUGGUUCACUCCCCAAUUGGCCGCAAUGGCCAGAGCUGUGCUGAUUCGAAGUCAGGAGCCAGGAGCUUCUUCCAGGUCGUAUAUGCCAGUGCAGGGACCCAAGGACUUGGACCAUCUUCUCCUGCUUUCCCAGGCCAUAACAGAGAGCUGGACUGGAAGUGGAGCAGCCAGGACUUGAACAAGUUCCCAUAUGGAAUGCAGGGACUGCAGGCAGUGGCUUUACCUGCUAAGGCACAACACCUGCAGCAACUUUUCCUGCUAUGCCAUAGCACCGGUCCCCAAGCAAUUAUGUCAUAUAUUGUUAUUAUAUAUUCAUUAAUAGUGACUCUUCAACUAAACUGUGAACUUAAAGUUAAUGACUCUAUGUCAGAAGCUGAGGAUAAAUAUUGGGGGGUUCUUUCAAAAUUUAUGGUAAAACAUAUUUUAUUCACAAAAGACCAAAUAAAUGCAAAUAAGUACUUAUACAGGGACAAAAACCAGCAUAACAAUAUUUACUGCUGGAUCGAAGUUAGAGCCCCAAUGCAUGUGCAAACAUACAACUUUAUUUCUCUUUAAUCUCUUACAUAACUUUCAUCUGUCAAUAGCAACAAAUUAAUUAAAGGAUAACUCAAUAGUUUUUCACUUAACUUUAAGCUAGCUUUAGAUAAUUGACAAGGUCUGAAUUUAAUUGAAAGGCUAUUCUCCCCUUUUUUUUUAAUUUCUCUCCCUAGCCUCUGCCUAUUCCAAGAAGAACUAAUCCAUGUAACAGUAUGAGAGGAUUUCUUUAUUUAGAUGUCCAUAAAAUAUACGCUAAUAUACUUUGAAAGUAGGAUUUGCUGAAAAUCAGCUCUUCGCCAACAUAUAUGGGGUGCGGUGGAGAGAAUAAUAAUUUUCCCUGAAUAUAUUACAUAUUCAAGAACACUUUUAGGUAAUGCAUGCUUAUAAAUAUCAGGAAGAUCAUGUUGUUAACCAAAGGGCACUCCAUAAGCAAAAUGUCAAAAGGGGUCUUAAUUGAAAUGAAAAUUUAAUUUCAUUUUAAAAGUAUUGUUUAUCAGGGCUGACACUGUGGCACAGCAGGUUAACACCCUGGCCUGAAGCGCCGGCAUCCUAUAUGGGCUCCAGUUUGAGACCCAGCUACUCCUCUUCUGAUCUAGCUCUCUGCUAUGUGGCCUGGGAAAGCAGUAGAUGAUGACGCAAGUCCUUGAGCUCCUACACCCAUGUGGGAGACCCGGAAGAAGCUCCUGGCUCCUGGCUUCAGAUCAGCACAGCUCUGACCAUUGCAGCCAAUUGGGGAGUGAAUCAAUGGAUGGAAGA